Long non-coding RNA from Ictalurus punctatus (channel catfish), 1084 nucleotides. The record is from Ensembl. NCBI's taxonomy places the organism in Eukaryota, Metazoa, Chordata, Actinopteri, Siluriformes, Ictaluridae.
CUUCCAAGCCUAUAUAUAUAUAUAUAUAUACACACACACAUUUGCAAUGAACCUAAUCCCCAAUCCUGCACAUCUCAACCCCAUGAUAACAGUAACUUAUUAUUAAUAUGAAAACAUUUGAAUAUAUGAGUUUUAUGAGAAUAUAUGAGAAAUUUAAGUUCAAAUAUGGUGGAGGCAUUGUAAUGCUCUGAAUGUUGAAUUCCUCAAGACUUAGACUCCAAACUGGAAUGCUGGACAACUCGAUUAUUAAUUAAAUGACUUUUAAUGAUGUAGUCGUCUAGCUUGAAUGACGAAUCAAAAGUUGCAUAAGCACGACUGUUCAUUUUACAGGAAGGUAGAAUGAGCAAUUAUCGCACUUAAUCUAGUCAUUUGACGUGACCACAUAUGACAGACUGUAGAUGAAUGAAUAUUAAUGCAAUUAUACGGCAUGAAAUGAGAAAGGAAUCCAACACAACUGGGGGGUGCGGUUUUAGGAAACUAAUCCGUGGGGAUAACCCAGAGUUGCCAUUACCACCUGGAAGUGGAUUAUAUUCCUAUAACAGCAAACUCUUUAUUUCCUCUUCUAUCAUUAAUCAGUCACUUCUCAAGGCUAACCAUUUUUUAUUUAUUAAAGACUGACACAUUAUAUAUUACAUUUGGUUCAUGAGGAAACCAUGACGUGUCCUGAGAACCCUUUUAUUAUUUUUAUAUUUCCGAUUCAUUAGUUUUUUUUUCCUAUUAAUUAUUAUUUUUUAUUUUUUUGUGCCUAAAAUGAUAAAUAAAAGGGAGCACGGUGGGUUAGUGGUUGGCACGUUCGCCUCACACCUCCAGGGUCGGGGGUUCGAUUCCCACCGUGAUCCUGUGUGUGUGUGUGGAGUUUGCAUGUUCUCCCUGUGCUGCGGGGGUUUCCUCCGGGUACUCCGGUUUCCUCCCCCAGUCCAAAGACAUGCAUGGUAGGCUGAUUGGCGUGUCUAAAGUGUCCGUAGUGUAUGAAUGUGUAUGUGACUGUCCAGGGUGUACCCCGCCUUGUGCCCCGAUACUCCCUGGGAUAGACUCCAGGUUCCCCCGUGACCCUGAAAAGGAUAUAGAAGAUGGAUGGAUGAUA